Phycomyces blakesleeanus NRRL 1555(-) is the source of this 294-nucleotide non-coding RNA. It matches the Rfam family "Metazoan signal recognition particle RNA". Rfam says of the family: The signal recognition particle (SRP) is a universally conserved ribonucleoprotein. It is involved in the co-translational targeting of proteins to membranes. The eukaryotic SRP consists of a 300-nucleotide 7S RNA and six proteins: SRPs 72, 68, 54, 19, 14, and 9. NCBI's taxonomy places the organism in Eukaryota, Fungi, Mucoromycota, Mucoromycetes, Mucorales, Phycomycetaceae. The record is from Rfam.
ACCGGAUAGCUCGUCUAUCUGUAAGCCAACGGCGGUCUAUAAAGGAAUGAAUUCGUAUUUGGGUGGAAUUAACGGUGGCUGGGUUACUUUGUCGAAGAAAGUGUCUUGCAGAGAUUGAUGUCGGCAUUCGUACCUUGGCGUAGGCUGAGGUACGGAGGUUGCUAAGUACUGGGGUACUGCCCGAGGGUAGCAAUACAACAGGGAAAACUCAGAGCAUCAGAUCAGCUGUAAGAUAGCACGUCGGAGAAGUAUUCUUCAGCCAUUGCCAUCCUAUACGGGAACUCCUCCUUUUGU